Molecule: long non-coding RNA, 1840 nt
Filed under: Capra hircus (goat)
Lineage: Eukaryota; Metazoa; Chordata; Mammalia; Artiodactyla; Bovidae
Description: lncRNA (ENSCHIG00000004925.1)
Source: RNAcentral
GCCCUCUUGUCCUCCAAAGGGACACGUGAAUCUCUUUUCAAGUGUGCGUUUACCAUGAUGACGGUGUACUAAGAGGCUGCUAUUCUCAAAAGGUCUGUGUGAACUGCUUUCCAGCUGAAUUCCACGGAUGUUUGCUUGUGAACACCAGGGUCCCUCUUCCUUCUGGACCACGAAACAAUUCCUGGAAGGUUCUGGCGGCAGGUGGCAUUUCAGUAAACGACUGUGUUCGUGCCCCAGGAUUGUCGUAACAAACGACCUCAGCUUGAGAGUCUUGAUAUAAAUGCCUUCUGUCACGGCCAGGAGGUCACCAGGCUGGAGGCCAGGUGUGGGCGGGGCUGGCUUCUCCUGGAGCCGCUGACGGAGAGUCCCCCCAGGGCCCUCCUCACCCAGGGGUGGCCGGCAGGCCUCGGCUUAUGAGGGCAUCGCUCCCAUCUCUGCUCCACGGCCGCCCGGGCCCCUCCUCCCCGAGCGCGUCUCUGCGUCUCUUCCAGGGAUGCCAGCCACAGUGAGUUAAAGGACCCCUGCUCAGGUGGGCCCACAUCCUAGCUAAUUACAUCUAUGUCCAAAGAAGGUCACAUUCUGAGGUGAAUUUAGGGAGACAUUAUCCUUCACGGUGUAACAGCAAAUGUCAUAUUUCCGUUAAGUUCCAAGCCUGCGGCCUUGUUUCCACAGGAGGGAGCAGGCAGGGUGGAAGGGUGGGGACUCCCCUGCUCACAGGGUCUCCUCCAGCUGGUCCCCUGGGGCCUGAGUUGUGUGUACCCAGCCAAUUUACUGUCUGGGUGGGGCCCAGAAGUCCUUCUACUGAACAGAUUGCUCAGAAAAGUCUUAUCCUCAGAGGAGUGUGAGAAGCACUCAGAGGUGCUGUUGAUUGGAAGAAAUCCUGCCGACGUCUGAGUAAACGAAGACUUCCAGCGAGAAGAGAUGGAACCGGUGCACGCAUCAGACUCAGUCCUUUCAGGGGCAGGAGAACAGGACACCUGGGCAUUUACCUGGGCACAUCUCUCUCCAGCCCAUGAGGAGCCACCCAGGAAGGGCCGUGAGGGCAGGCUCUGGGGCAAGGCCGCCUGCAUCCGACCCGCACCUCUGCACCUCGCCACCAAGCAGCUGUGGCCUCGGGCACACCAUCUCCACACGCCUCCGUUUUCUCACCUGGAAAAUGGUGAUAACGGCUCAUUUCUUGUGUUGUUUUUGAGAGAGUUGAAGGAAUUAAGGGCUUCCCUCAUGGCUCAGACGGUGAAGAAUCUGCCUGCAAUGUGCAAGAUGUCUGUGCCACUCCUGGGUCGGGAAGAUCCUCCAGAGAAUUCCGUGGACAGAGGAGCUUGGUGGCUCACAGUCCGCGGGGUCGCAAAGACUCAACUGACACUUUCACACUUUCACUUUCAAAGGAAUUAAAACACAUUUCUCGGACCAGGGUCGUUAUUUGUCCUUUUCAAUAACUGUUGGAUAAUUCUGUUAUUCCACACCCCUAACCCACUCCAGUGUUCUUGCCUAGAGAAUCCCAGGGACCGGGGAGCCUGGUGGGCUGCCAUCUAGAGGGUUGCACAGAAUUGGACAUGACUGAAGCGACUUAGUAGCAGCAGCAGCAGGCGUGUGGACCUCUGGUUUGGAUUUAUGAUUUAACCUGUUCACUCCCAGCGCUAAGUUGAUUAAAUGUGACUCAUUACAGAAUGGAGGCGGCAGCACCCGGUGGCUCCAACACAGGCCUGUCACCCAUUCCGAGACCAGGCGAGCACCGCCUUCCUGACGGGAGAAGAAACCCUGCAGCCACCAUGUCUCCAAAGACACAGCUUUCUCCCCUUUUCAUCCAGCACGGCACAUCAGGAUGGAAAACAGCGGGCCC